Molecule: transfer RNA, 132 nt
Organism: Paraphaeosphaeria sporulosa
Lineage: Eukaryota; Fungi; Ascomycota; Dothideomycetes; Pleosporales; Didymosphaeriaceae
Rfam family: tRNA
About the family: Transfer RNA (tRNA) molecules are approximately 80 nucleotides in length. Their secondary structure includes four short double-helical elements and three loops (D, anti-codon, and T loops). Further hydrogen bonds mediate the characteristic L-shaped molecular structure. tRNAs have two regions of fundamental functional importance: the anti-codon, which is responsible for specific mRNA codon recognition, and the 3' end, to which the tRNAs corresponding amino acid is attached (by aminoacyl-tRNA synthetases). tRNAs cope with the degeneracy of the genetic code in two manners: having more than one tRNA (with a specific anti-codon) for a particular amino acid; and 'wobble' base-pairing, i.e. permitting non-standard base-pairing at the 3rd anti-codon position.
Source: Rfam
GGCCGUGUGGCCCAAUGGCAAGGCGCUUGACUACGAUUAGUAAAUCAAGAGAUUCCAGGUGUGUAUUCACAGUUCGCAAGUCGCUAAGACGUCAUCACUAACAGUUCAAAGGUUCGACCCCUGGCACGGUCA